GACGAACGCUGGCGGCGUGCUUAACACAUGCCAGUCGAACGGAAAGGCCCUGCUUUUGUGGGGUGCUCGAGUGGCGAACGGGUGAGUAACACGUGAGUAACCUGCCCUUGACUUUGGGAUAUCUUCAGGAAACUGGGGCUAAUACCGGAUAGGAGCUCCUGCUGCAUGGUGGGGGUUGGAAAGUUUCGGCGGUUGGGGCUGGACUCGCGGCUUAUCCGCUUGUUGGUGGGGUAGUGGCUUACCAAGGCUUUGACGGGUAGCCGGCCUGGGAGGGGGACCGGGCCACAUGGGGCUAGGGGAAGGGGCAGGAGCCCUACGGGGGGAAGGGGGGGAAAAAUUGGCAAAAGGGGGGGAGUCAGGGUGGAGCAACGCCGGGUGGGGAAGCACGGCUUUGGGGUGGGAACCGCUUUUUGCGUGUGAGGAAGGGUGGUGACGGUAAAUGGUCAAAAAGCCACGGCUAACUAAGUG
RNAcentral lists this ribosomal RNA (468 nucleotides) under uncultured bacterium. Its description in RNAcentral is "partial 16S ribosomal RNA". It matches the Rfam family "Bacterial small subunit ribosomal RNA", at positions 28 to 507 of the family's 1533-position model. The record is from RNAcentral.